RNAcentral lists this ribosomal RNA (497 nucleotides) under uncultured bacterium. Its description in RNAcentral is "partial 16S ribosomal RNA". It matches the Rfam family "Bacterial small subunit ribosomal RNA", at positions 28 to 507 of the family's 1533-position model. The record is from RNAcentral.
GAUGAACGCUGGCGGCGUGCCUAAUACAUGCAAGUCGAGCGAACAGACGAGGAGCUUGCUCCUCUGACGUUAGCGGCGGACGGGUGAGUAACACGUGGAUAACCUACCUAUAAGACUGGGAUAACUUCGGGAAACCGGAGCUAAUACCGGAUAAUAUAUUGAACCGCAUGGUUCAAUAGUGAAAGACGGUUUUGCUGUCACUUAUAGAUGGAUCCGCGCCGCAUUAGCUAGUUGGUAAGGUAACGGCUUACCAAGGCAACGAUGCGUAGCCGACCUGAGAGGGUGAUCGGCGACACUGGAACUGAGACACGGUCCAGACUCCUACGGGAGGCAGCAGUAGGGAAUCUUCCGCAAUGGGCGAGAGCCUGACGGAGCAACGCCGCGUGAGUGAUGAAGGUCUUCGGAUCGUAAAACUCUGUUAUUAGGGAAGAACAAAUGUGUAAGUAACUAUGCACGUCUUGACGGUACCUAAUCAGAAAGCCACGGCUAACUACGUG